CCUACGGGAGGCUGCAGUAAGGAAUAUUGCGCAAUGGGCGAAAGCCUGACGCAGCGACGCCGCGUGGGGGAUGAAGGUCUUCGGAUUGUAAACCCCUUUCGGGAGGGAAGAUGGAACGAGCAAUCGUUCGGACGGUACCUCCAGAAGCAGCCACGGCCAACUUCGUGCCAGCAGCCGCGGUCAUACGAAGGUGGCAAGCGUUGUUCGGAUUCACUGGGCGUACAGGGUGUGUAGUUGGUAAGGUAAGCCUUAAAGCGUCGGGCCCAACCCGGAAAGCGCAGAGGGUACUGCCAGGCUAGAGGGUGGGAGAGGAGCGCGGAAUUCCCGGUGUAGCGGUGAAAUGCGUAGAGAGCGGGAGGAAGGCCGGUGGCGAAGGCGGCGCUCUGGAACACACCUGACGCUGAGACACGAAAGCGUGGGGAGCAAACAGGAUUAGAUACCCCAGUAGUC
This 450-nucleotide ribosomal RNA is filed under the name uncultured bacterium. Its description in RNAcentral is "partial 16S ribosomal RNA". It matches the Rfam family "Bacterial small subunit ribosomal RNA", at positions 338 to 795 of the family's 1533-position model. The record is from RNAcentral.